GUUCAAGUGCAGAAAGGGCCCAAUCUGGUGGAUGAACCACACGGCCAGCUUCUGGAUGCAGGCACAGUGCCACAUUUUUUGUCACUUCCUGAUGCGCCCCACCAGCACUGAAGAGACAGCCUGGAGACAGGGCAAGAGGAAGGCUGAGAAGGAUGAGUUGGUGAGUGCCAGAUUCUUCCUGACCCUGAGCCCACCCCCAGGGCGACACUCAACCUUUAGGAGUGGGAGAGCAAGAUUGACGGCUUCAAGUGCUUCACCAAGAAGAUGGACAACAGGGCACUCAGCUCAACUUCACAGCCAAUGAGUGGUGACAGGCUUUAAGAAAGAGCAUCAGAAGGCUGCCAGUUCUUCUUCAGCCUCAGCCAGGCCUUGGAGCUGGACCAGGCCAUUCACUUGAGUAUAGAUGCCUUCCACACUGUCUGUGAGGUCUUUGCCAAUCAGUCCAGGCAGGACCUGGACCCAGCCAUGGACCUGUUAGUGCUGUCUCAGGGACACCAGACCAACAUCCUGGACAUCAUCCACAUACACA
This 529-nucleotide long non-coding RNA is filed under the name Homo sapiens (human). RNAcentral's name for it is "non-protein coding lnc-LIPI-6:1". Lineage: Eukaryota; Metazoa; Chordata; Mammalia; Primates; Hominidae. The record is from RNAcentral.